RNAcentral lists this ribosomal RNA (270 nucleotides) under uncultured bacterium. RNAcentral's name for it is "partial 16S ribosomal RNA". It matches the Rfam family "Bacterial small subunit ribosomal RNA", at positions 524 to 796 of the family's 1533-position model. The record is from RNAcentral.
UACGAAGGGGGCUAGCGUUGCUCGGAAUUACUGGGCGUAAAGCGCACGUAGGCGGCUUCUAAGUCGGGGUGAAAUCCUGGAGCUCAACUCCAGAACUGCCUUCGAUACUGGAAGCUUGAGUCCGGGAGAGGUGAGUGGAACUGCGAGUGUAGAGGUGAAAUUCGUAGAUAUUCGCAAGAACACCAGUGGCGAAGGCGGCUCACUGGCCCGGUACUGACGCUGAGGUGCGAAAGCGUGGGGAGCAAGCAGGAGUAAGAUACCGAGACGUCC